CCUACGGGCGGCUGCAGUGGGGAAUAUUGGACAAUGGGGGCAACCCUGAUCCAGCCAUGCCGCGUGUGUGAAGAAGGCCCUCGGGUUGUAAAGCACUUUCAGUGAGGAAGAACGCCUGGUGGUUAAUACCCAUCAGGAAAGACAUCACUCACAGAAGAAGCACCGGCUAACUCCGUGCCAGCAGCCGCGGUAAUACGGAGGGUGCGAGCGUUAAUCGGAAUUACUGGGCGUAAAGCGCGCGUAGGUGGCUUGAUAAGCCGGUUGUGAAAGCCCCGGGCUCAACCUGGGAACGGCAUCCGGAACUGUCAAGCUAGAGUGCAGGAGAGGAAGGUAGAAUUCCCGGUGUAGCGGGUAAAUGCGUAGAGAUCGGGAGGAAUACCAGUGGCGAAGGCGGCCUUCUGGACUGACACUGCCACUGAGGUGCGAAAGCGUGGGUAGCAAACAGGAUUAGAUACCCUAGUAGUC
RNAcentral lists this ribosomal RNA (465 nucleotides) under Vreelandella stevensii. RNAcentral describes it as "partial 16S ribosomal RNA". It matches the Rfam family "Bacterial small subunit ribosomal RNA", at positions 338 to 795 of the family's 1533-position model. The record is from RNAcentral. Lineage: Bacteria; Pseudomonadati; Pseudomonadota; Gammaproteobacteria; Oceanospirillales; Halomonadaceae.